RNAcentral lists this long non-coding RNA (202 nucleotides) under Numida meleagris (helmeted guineafowl). RNAcentral describes it as "lncRNA (ENSNMEG00000017156.1)". The record is from RNAcentral. Lineage: Eukaryota; Metazoa; Chordata; Aves; Galliformes; Numididae.
AUUGCCACCUCCUGGCUGAGUUCUUCAGGCAGAAGCACAGAGCAAAUAUCACCUGCCGUUCCCCUGCUAUUUCAGUAGGUGCACUCUGGAUUCCUGUUGGUAGCUUGCAGAGGUGCAUUUUGACUGUGGGAACAAUCACGCCUAUGUAGGACAGAAGAGUGUCUUCCUGUAGUGUCUGUUGAGUAUCUUAUCUUGCUCCUCU